AGAACGCACAAUAAUUAUCCCUGGGACCAUGGGAUAAACAAAAACCUAGCAAAACCAAGUUAGCACACCCUAGAAUGCUUUUGGCACGAUUACUAACCUAUGUCUCUAAUACCAGUUGAAGGGAAAAAUCC
Molecule: microRNA precursor, 131 nt
Filed under: Vitis vinifera (wine grape)
Lineage: Eukaryota; Viridiplantae; Streptophyta; Magnoliopsida; Vitales; Vitaceae
Description: MIR845_2 microRNA precursor family
Rfam family: MIR845_2 microRNA precursor family
Source: Rfam by way of RNAcentral